This 451-nucleotide ribosomal RNA is filed under the name uncultured bacterium. RNAcentral's name for it is "partial 16S ribosomal RNA". It matches the Rfam family "Bacterial small subunit ribosomal RNA", at positions 354 to 796 of the family's 1533-position model. The record is from RNAcentral.
GUGGGGAAUAUUGGACAAUGGGGGGAACCCUGAUCCAGCCAUGCCGCGUGUGUGAAGAAGGCCUUUUGGUUGUAAAGCACUUUAAGCGAGGAGGAGGCUACCGAGAUUAAUACUCUUGGAUAGUGGACGUUACUCACAGAAUAAGCACCGGCUAACUCUGUGCCAGCAGCCGCGGUAAUACAGAGGGUGCAAGCGCUAAUCGGAUUUACUGGGCGUAAAGCGCGCGUAGGUGGCCAAUUAAGUCAAAUGUGAAAUCCCCGAGCUUAACUUGGGAAUUGCAUUCGAUACUGGUUGGCUAGAGUAUGGGAGAGGAUAGUAGAAUUCCAGGUGUAGCGGUGAAAUGCGUAGAGAUCUGGAGGAAUACCGAUGGCGAAGGCAGCCAUCUGGCCUAAUACUGACACUGAGGUGCGAAAGCAUGGGGAGCAAACAGGAUUAGAUACCCGAGUAGUCC